RNAcentral lists this ribosomal RNA (253 nucleotides) under uncultured bacterium. RNAcentral describes it as "partial 16S ribosomal RNA". It matches the Rfam family "Bacterial small subunit ribosomal RNA", at positions 524 to 776 of the family's 1533-position model. The record is from RNAcentral.
UACGUAGGGGGCAAGCGUUGUCCGGAAUCAUUGAGCGUAAAGCGCGUGUAGGCGGCCAGAAAAGUCCGCUGUGAAAACUCGAGGCUCAACUUCGAGCUGUCGGUGGAAACUUUCUGGCUAGAGUCCGGAAGAGGAGAAUGGAAUUCCUGGUGUAGCGGUGAAAUGCGCAGAUAUCAGGAAGAACACCCGUGGCGAAGGCGGUUCUCUGGGACGGUACUGACGCUGAGACGCGAAAGCGUGGGGAGCGAACAGG